This 1336-nucleotide long non-coding RNA is filed under the name Meleagris gallopavo (turkey). RNAcentral's name for it is "lncRNA (ENSMGAG00000021189.1)". The record is from RNAcentral. Lineage: Eukaryota; Metazoa; Chordata; Aves; Galliformes; Phasianidae.
AUGAGUGUAAACAGUAAAUGCUCUGGUAAUAAACUGAUUUCCUUUUUCCCCAUCUUUUGGCAGAGUGUGACAAGCUGCGGAGAGAUGGCUAUCGGAGCUCUCAGUAUUACUCUCAGGGCCCCACCUUCUCCUCGUCCUCCAGUGCAAUCUGUGGAAGUUACCAGGAUGAUUAUGAAGAAAUUGAACAAAAGUGUUCUGUCUCUUCCCCAGAAGAAGAAAAGCUUAUCACCAUCAAAAGGCCUAAAACCCCAGUUUCAAGUGAGUUAUCAGAUAUCAACACACAAACCAACUGGACUAAGUCGCUUCCACUGCCAACACCAGAAGAGAAGAUGCGACAGCAAGCACAGGCAGUCCAAACAGAUGUGGUUCCUAUUAAUGUGACUGGGGAGAAUUUCGACCGCCAAGCCAGCAUUCGGCGGUCUCUAAUUUACACAGACACGGUGGUAAGACGGCCGAAGAAAGUCAAAAGGAGAAAGACUAUAACAGGAAUCCCUGACAACAUACAAAAGGAGCUAGGUAUGGCUCAUCAGAACUGUAUUCCAUCCACUGUUCAUUGUCACUGCUUAUCAUUACUCGACUAAUAACAUUACCAGUGCUCAUGAAACCAAUACAGUCUGAUAGCCAAUUACAGUUCCAAAUAAGCAGGUGCCUCCUCGCCACCUGGAAAUAAGGGCCUUUUAUCUGUGAGCUUCCUUCUGCUGAAGGGAAUGUGGUAUUUGGAAAAUGGUUUACUGGUGCAAUAGAAAUCUACAGUGAUGUAAUUUUUUGUGGUCUUUAAUGCCUUUCUGGAGAAUUGGUCCACUCCCCUAAGAUGUUAAUGGAAGCAAAAUUGAAGUGGGUAGGUGUUUCAGCUUGCAGAGUUAUCCAGUGGGAUAAACCAAUUCAUUGAUGCCUUCUUGGAUCUGCUGAGAGUUGCAUCAACAGUGAAAAUCUGUAAAACUUCCAGUUUAGUUUAGAUCUAAUUGGCAACCACUUAAAUGUCAACAUUAUUUGAUUUCAGAUAAUUUACAUGUUACCAUUAUCUAUUUCAUAUAUAUCAAAGGAAAAAUGCUGAAUCAGUCACAUUUACACUACCUCAGUCUGUAAUCUUUUCACAGUUAAUAGUGUACAAGACAUUCAGAGCUGAUGAAAUAGUCUGGGCAGCCUUUCACACAUUUUUUGCAGAAGUCUGAUAUUAGCUUUUUUUUUUUUUUGUAAGAUAUUCCAUUUUACCCAAAUGAUGACUUUAUAGAUACAAUGAUGACCUUCUGCAUCCCCUCCCUCCUUCUCUCUUUCUGCAGUAGAGAAAGAAUAUCUUAAAAUAGCCUGGCAGAAUAUAACUUUAAUUUUUUUAUCU